Molecule: ribosomal RNA, 775 nt
Filed under: uncultured Neocallimastigales
Lineage: Eukaryota; Fungi; Neocallimastigomycota; Neocallimastigomycetes; Neocallimastigales
Description: partial large subunit ribosomal RNA
Rfam family: Eukaryotic large subunit ribosomal RNA
Source: RNAcentral
CGCAUCUGUGCAUGCAGCAUAUCAAUAAGCGGAGGAAAAGAAACUAACAAGGAUUCCCUUAGUAACGGCGAGUGAAGCGGGAAGAGCUCAAAUUUGAAAUCUUCAAGGUUUUACCUUGACGAAUUGUAGGUUUAAAGAAGUGUUUUCUGUUGAAGUUUUGGUAAAAGUUCUUUGGAAUAGGACAUCAUAGAGGGUGAGAAUCCCGUAUUUGACCAUUAUUUUCAGCUGUGUGAUACACUUUCAAAGAGUCGGAUUGUUUGGGAAUGCAGUCCAAAAUGGGUGGUAAAUUUCAUCUAAAGCUAAAUAUUGGCGAGAGACCGAUAGCGAACAAGUACCGUGAGGGAAAGAUGAAAAGAACUUUGAAAAGAGAGUUAAACAGUACGUGAAAUUGUCAAAAGGGAAGCGUUUGACACCAGUGUUGUUUUCUCGAAAAUCAAUUAAAAGGAGUUUGAUUUUGUUGUGUAUUGACCUUAACAGCUUGCAUUUCAAUUUUCUUGCUUUUUUUAAUGCACUUUUCGUUUAACAAGUCAACAUCAGUUUCUUUUGUUGUAAAAAGGUCAUUGGAAGGUGGCUUUCUUUUCGGAGAAAGUGUUUAUAGCCUUUGACUCCUGCAAUCGGAGAGACUGAGGUCUGCAGCGUAGAUCCUUCGGGGUUAGAUACAUUUGUGCUAAGUUAUAGCUUUUUAUAGACAACUUGUUGACUAUGAUUAGUCUUGUAGCUUACUCGCUUAUGCUAUUUUACCUACGCUUAGGAUGUUGAACUCUAUCACACACAG